GGUCUCCCUCUUGGGUCUGUCCAGCUCACACAACAGGCCGGGUGAUUCCCACCGCUCAGAGGUCACUGUUACUCUCUGGCAGCUGCCGCCGCCGCCGCUAGCUCCUCGGGGCACCGACGCGCGACAAAGUGGCUGGCAGCCAUCUUGCAGUGCCUCAAAAGAUGCGCAUGCGCCAGCUCCAGCGAGCCAUUCACUACGCAGACUCCCAGAUCAAACAAUAUUUUACACUUCCCUUGGACGAUACCAUUCACAGCCAGUAGGCUAUUUGGAUUAUAGGAAGAGGAAGUAAAUGAAGUGAAACGAAAAAUUUCCUAGUAGAAAUUUCGAGACGAGGAAAGAAUAAAAGGGAAGAUGUGAUCUCACUUUUGCCGGUUAUAACAGUCUUACAAUUGCAUAAUACAUUAUAGUUUAAAGAGCCCUAGCUGUCUAUUAUAUUGAUUAGCACAACCUAGAUUAACCAUUCCAUCGUAUCUGCCUAUGAAAAUCCUCUGGGCAGAUUUGUAGGCUCCUGUGUUCCACUGAGCACAUGCAAUUACUGUAUUUUAAGUCUUUUACCUCUCCCCAGUGGACUCAUUGUUUCUUGAGGCAAGGAACCUGUUUUGCCAAGCUCAUCUCUAGUAUUCAUUCAUUCAUUCAUUCAUUCAUUCACUCAUUCAUUCAUUCAACAAAAAGUUGUUGAACGUUUUGUGCCAAGUAUAGUUCUAGAUACUGGGAAGUAUAACAGCAAAACAAACAAAAAUCUCCUACCUGUGGGGCUUAGUAGCGGGAGACCAAAACAAAUAUGGUCAGGGAGUAAUAAGUUCUAUGAAGAAGUAUGAAGCAGUUUAAGGAAGAGAGAGGAUAUUGUGUAUAAGAUCCUAUAUGGGAAGGGAAAUGGUUUGGUGAUCCAGGAAGGCUUCUGGAAGGAAGUGACACUUAUCUGAACGCUGAGAAUAAGGUAACCAAGCAGGUAUGGGGAAGGGGGAGAAGAACAUGCUGGCAGAAGGAACAGCCAAGUGCAAAGGACCUGAAACUAUGUCUUGACAUAUUCGAGGAAGAAAAAGGAGGCCGGCGUGACUGGAGAAGAGUAAGAGAGGGUACAAGUAGCAGAACAUGAGGUCUGAGGUGAAGGGAGAGAGUUCAUGUAAGACCUUGAAGGCAACUGUAAGGAUUUUGGCUUUUAACUUUGAGAUGGGGAUCCUCAUUAAGCAGACGAGUUUUAAGUAGAGAAGUUACAUCCCAUGUAACUUUUUAACUGGUUGCUAUGUUGAAAACAGACUUAAGAGCCACCAGUCGAGGAGGCUAUUGGAAUAAUCCAGACAAGUAAAUGAUGGCUUGUACAAGAGUGGUACCAAAAAUAUAAUGAGAAGUGGUGUCAGAUCCUGGAUAUAUUUUGAAGGUGGAGUCAAAAGAAUUGCUCAUGGAGUUAAGGAAUAUUGCACUGAAUAACAUGUGAAAGAACCUUGAAAACUGUAAAAUGUUCCAGUAUUGCCACUGAAUUGUCUUAUCCAAAACUAAUUCUUGGGUACCUAUAUUCCGAAGAUAUUGACAUUUUCAAGAUAAUUCUGGAAAUUCCUCAAGCAAUUGCUAGAAGUUGGGAGAAAAGAUCACCUGAAGACCCAAACUCCAAUACCUG
Molecule: long non-coding RNA, 1615 nt
Organism: Mirounga angustirostris (Northern elephant seal)
Lineage: Eukaryota; Metazoa; Chordata; Mammalia; Carnivora; Phocidae
Exons: 3
Source: RefSeq, a predicted model, not a curated record